UGGUGGUGGUGAGUGGUACUGAUAAGUAUGUGGUGAUGGUGGUGGUGGAGGCGGUGAUUGGUAGUAAUAAGUAGGCGUUGGUGAUGGUGGUGGUGGAGGCGGUGAUUGGUAGUAAUAAGUAGGUGUUGGUGGUGGUGGAGGCGGUGGUGAAUUAUAGUGAUAAGUGGGUGUUUGUGGUGGUGGAGGCGGUGGUGAAUUGUAGUGAUAAGUGGGUGUUUGUGGUGGAGGCGGUGGUGAAUUGUAGUGAUAAGUCGGUGUUUGUGGUGGUGGGGGUGCGUAGCUUGAUCCAGGUGACACUUUGUGAGAUGGUGGUGGUGGUGUGUAGUGAUGGCUUGGCGGGGAUGAAG
This 347-nucleotide long non-coding RNA is filed under the name Daucus carota (carrot). Its description in RNAcentral is "long non-coding RNA (DCAR_LNC001728)". Lineage: Eukaryota; Viridiplantae; Streptophyta; Magnoliopsida; Apiales; Apiaceae. The record is from RNAcentral.